Molecule: ribosomal RNA, 800 nt
Filed under: uncultured bacterium
Lineage: Bacteria
Description: bacterial SSU rRNA
Rfam family: Bacterial small subunit ribosomal RNA
Source: RNAcentral
AGAGUUUGAUCCUGGCUCAGAUUGAACGCUGGCGGCAGGCUUAACACAUGCAAGUCGAGCGGAGCGAAGGUGCUUGCACCUUAGCUUAGCGGCGGACGGGUGAGUAAUGCUUAGGAAUCUGCCUAUUAGUGGGGGACAACGUUUCGAAAGGAACGCUAAUACCGCAUACGUCCUACGGGAGAAAGCAGGGGAUCUUCGGACCUUGUGCUAAUAGAUGAGCCUAAGUCGGAUUAGCUAGUUGGUGGGGUAAAGGCCUACCAAGGCGACGAUCUGUAGCGGGUCUGAGAGGAUGAUCCGCCACACUGGGACUGAGACACGGCCCAGACUCCUACGGGAGGCAGCAGUGGGGAAUAUUGGACAAUGGGCGAAAGCCUGAUCCAGCCAUGCCGCGUGUGUGAAGAAGGCCUUUUGGUUGUAAAGCACUUUAAGCGAGGAGGAGGAGCUUCAGGUUAAUACCCUGGAUGCUUGGACGUUACUCGCAGAAUAAGCACCGGCUAACUCUGUGCCAGCAGCCGCGGUAAUACAGAGGGUGCAAGCGUUAAUCGGAUUUACUGGGCGUAAAGCGUGCGUAGGCGGCUAAUUAAGUCAAAUGUGAAAUCCCCGAGCUUAACUUGGGAAUUGCAUUCGAUACUGGUUAGCUAGAGUAUGGGAGAGGAUGGCAGAAUUCCAGGUGUAGCGGUGAAAUGCGUAGAGAUCUGGAGGAAUACCGAUGGCGAAGGCAGCCAUCUGGCCUAAUACUGACGCUGAGGUACGAAAGCAUGGGGAGCAAACAGGAUUAGAUACCCUGGUAGUCCAUGCCG